UGAGCAUAGGUCCUCACACAGGCCAGUACUCUGCCUCUGAGCCAUACUCGGUCCUCAUCUUCCCUGGUAAUUUUGCCACUCUUGCAAUCAAAGUUUGGCCUGAUUUUUGAGCACAAUUUGUCCUUUAGCUACGGAAGAUGAGGAUCACUUUGAACAUUGCUAUGCAGGCCCUGUGGCUUUCACAAUGUGCCCUGAUGUGAUACUAGGCAGAUAUAAAAGCUUGCUACUUUUUUUUUCCUUCUAGGUUUCUAUGGUAGGUGACAAUAGACAACCAACUCGGCCGUCCCUAUGGUUACCGCUGUCCCUGUAUCUUUCAGAUGCCAGAGCUGUUGAAUAAGCAUAGCAUCUCCUCUGUCUCCCAACCCAGUCUAUAGGCUGCAGAUGCCAUGUGACCGGCUGCCUCGCCCCUGCCGCAUGCCCUCACUGCUGUGAUGGACUCCACCUUCAAACUGGAAGCAGAAAUAAGCCCUGCCUUAGGUUGCUUUUGUAAAGAGCCAGGCCAUGGAGAAGUGGGGGUGUCUCCUGGAUGUAGAGCUUCAGUCCUGCAGGAUGGGAAGGUUCUGGUGCUCCACAGCAACGUGCAUGUCCCUAAUGCUGCUGAACUACAUACUUUAAAAUGGCUAAGAAG
Molecule: non-coding RNA, 628 nt
Organism: Peromyscus maniculatus bairdii (prairie deer mouse)
Lineage: Eukaryota; Metazoa; Chordata; Mammalia; Rodentia; Cricetidae
Source: RefSeq, a predicted model, not a curated record